GUGGGGGAUAUUGCACAAUGGGGGAAACCCUGAUGCAGCGACGCCGCGUGAGGGAAGACGGUUUUCGGAUUGUAAACCUCUGUCUUUAGGGACGAAAAAAUGACGGUACCUAAGGAGGAAGCCACGGCUAACUACGUGCCAGCAGCCGCGGUAAUACGUAGGUGGCAAGCGUUGUCCGGAAUUACUGGGUGUAAAGGGAGCGUAGGCGGGGAGACAAGUUGAAUGUCUAAACUAUCGGCUUAACUGAUAGUCGCGUUCAAAGCUAUCACUCUUGAGUGCAGUAGAGGUAGGCGGAAUUCCUAGUGUAGCGGUGAAAUGCGUAGAUAUUAGGAGGAACACCAGUGGCGAAGGCGGCCUACUGGGCUGUAACUGACGCUGAGGCUCGAAAGCGUGGGUAGCAAACAGGAUGAGAAACCCUGGUAGUCC
Molecule: ribosomal RNA, 426 nt
Filed under: uncultured bacterium
Lineage: Bacteria
Description: partial 16S ribosomal RNA
Rfam family: Bacterial small subunit ribosomal RNA
Source: RNAcentral